RNAcentral lists this long non-coding RNA (662 nucleotides) under Pan troglodytes (chimpanzee). RNAcentral describes it as "lncRNA (ENSPTRG00000054511.1)". The record is from RNAcentral. Lineage: Eukaryota; Metazoa; Chordata; Mammalia; Primates; Hominidae.
UAUUACUAAAAAUAAUGAUAGAACAUUAUUCUAACUUGUCAAAAAUGUUUAAUUUUUCAUAAACAGAUAUCGAAACAUCUUGCCAAGACUCUCAAAGCAGAAGAUUGUUAUUAAGCGAAAUCUUCCUGAUUGAUGAAAAACCAGUGUUGUAUUUGGGUAAGCUUGUGACAAUGACUCCAAAGAUCAUCCAGAACCUUCACACCAAGGAGGGAUUGGCUAACCAUGGACUGAAAGAAGGGGACAACUGGAUGAGGAGCUGGUAAAGCCAGAAAAUCUCACUGAUCUGAUAUCCUGUCCAGUCUCCUGGGAGAAAGCACCCGCUAGGACCUCUAUAUGAUUAGCAAGGAUAAAAGCGAUGAGAAGCUUUCAAGAAUGUUCUUUCAUCCUGACUAUACACACCAAGACCAGCUCCAAAACUCUCCACAGAAUAUCUGGUUAAGUAAUGCCUACAGUAGAGUAAGUCUCCAUCACAGUCAGCACCCUAUUGCAGCCAGCCCCCUGGAGCUUCUGGUAGACCUGCAACAAACUCCUCUUGUCAGAUGUGCAUUGGUAAAUGUCCCAGGAAAUUUUAUCAUCAGCAGUUUUCAAGCGGUUUAUUCACCUGUUGACAUUGAGAGAGAUUUUUUUAAAUUACGUUAGUGGUUACAGUAGGUGCAAACGGG